RNAcentral lists this ribosomal RNA (253 nucleotides) under uncultured bacterium. RNAcentral's name for it is "partial 16S ribosomal RNA". It matches the Rfam family "Bacterial small subunit ribosomal RNA", at positions 524 to 776 of the family's 1533-position model. The record is from RNAcentral.
UACGUAGGGUGCGAGCGUUAAUCGGAAUUACUGGGCGUAAAGCGUGCGCAGGCGGUUCGUUGUGUCCGUCGUGAAAGCCCCGGGCUUAACCUGGGAAUUGCGAUGGAAACUAGCGAGCUGGAGUGUGGCAGAGGGGGGUGGAAUUCCGCGUGUAGCAGUGAAAUGCGUAGAGAUGCGGAGGAACACCGAUGGCGAAGGCAGCCCCCUGGGCUAACACUGACGCUCAGGCACGAAAGCGUGGGGAGCAAACAGG